Molecule: non-coding RNA, 117 nt
Organism: Gossypium hirsutum (cotton)
Lineage: Eukaryota; Viridiplantae; Streptophyta; Magnoliopsida; Malvales; Malvaceae
Source: Rfam
AGCCGUGUGAUGACCACAGAGCGAAUUAUUCUUUGGCCUUUUACUAAAAAAUACCGUGUGCUCGUCAUUUUAAGCGGUAUACGCCAAUUUUUGGAAGGGCGUUCCUUGUUGGAUGCC